Molecule: ribosomal RNA, 380 nt
Filed under: uncultured cyanobacterium
Lineage: Bacteria; Bacillati; Cyanobacteriota
Description: bacterial SSU rRNA
Rfam family: Bacterial small subunit ribosomal RNA
Source: RNAcentral
CGAAAGCCUGACGGAGCAAUACCGCGUGAGGGAGGAAGGCUCUUGGGUCGUAAACCUCUUUUCUCAGGGAAGAACACAAUGACGGUACCUGAGGAAUAAGCAUCGGCUAACUCCGUGCCAGCAGCCGCGGUAAUACGGAGGAUGCAAGCGUUAUCCGGAAUGAUUGGGCGUAAAGCGUCCGCAGGUGGCUGUGUAAGUCUGCUGUUAAAGAGUCUAGCUCAACUAGAUACAAGCAGUGGAAACUACACGGCUAGAGUACGUUCGGGGCAGAGGGAAUUCCUGGUGUAGCGGUGAAAUGCGUAGAGAUCAGGAAGAACACCAGUGGCGAAGGCGCUCUGCUAGGCCGUAACUGACACUGAGGGACGAAAGCUAGGGGAGCG